RNAcentral lists this ribosomal RNA (397 nucleotides) under uncultured bacterium. Its description in RNAcentral is "partial 16S ribosomal RNA". It matches the Rfam family "Bacterial small subunit ribosomal RNA", at positions 523 to 918 of the family's 1533-position model. The record is from RNAcentral.
AUACGUAGGUGGCAAGCGUUGUCCGGAAUUAUUGGGCGUAAAGCGCGCGCAGGCGGUCCUUUAAGUCUGAUGUGAAAGCCCACGGCUCAACCGUGGAGGGUCAUUGGAAACUGGGGGACUUGAGUGCAGAAGAGGAAAGUGGAAUUCCAAGUGUAGCGGUGAAAUGCGUAGAGAUUUGGAGGAACACCAGUGGCGAAGGCGACUUUCUGGUCUGUAACUGACGCUGAGGCGCGAAAGCGUGGGGAGCAAACAGGAUUAGAUACCCUGGUAGUCCACGCCGUAAACGAUGAGUGCUAAGUGUUAGGGGGUUUCCGCCCCUUAGUGCUGCAGCUAACGCAUUAAGCACUCCGCCUGGGGAGUACGGUCGCAAGACUAAAACUCAAAGGAAUUGACGGGG